CUCUCAGUCGUUGCACCAAGAAAAUAUUCAACCAAGAUUACAUAUGAAGACUACAUUCUAUGACAGGUGCGUUGACCUAUACACAUCGUGUCGUUAUCACAGUUCAUAUUCAUCUGCUGCACAAUAAUUUUUUACAGAUCAGACGUGACCCGCCGAGUAAUUGGUCCACGUGCAGUUCGUUUUUUACAUUCCGUGGAAGCUUGGUUGUAGAACCUCGGACGGCACAUAGCUGGCGUCGAUCCUAGGACAGUCCAGGUAAGAGUGUCCGUCACAUUUCGAGAACAUUUCAUUCCCUGAAGUUCCAACCAAAAUUCUUCCACCCGUCGUGUUGUUUUCUGGACAGGCACUUUGUGUCCAUUUAAUCCAGUUAACAU
Schistocerca cancellata (South American locust) is the source of this 374-nucleotide long non-coding RNA. RefSeq lists it as uncharacterized. The transcript has 3 exons. Lineage: Eukaryota; Metazoa; Arthropoda; Insecta; Orthoptera; Acrididae. The record is from RefSeq and is a predicted model, not a curated record.